ACGCUCGACACCUACAGGAGGCAGCAGUUAGGAAUAUUGGGCAAUGGAGGAAACUCUGACCCAGCAACGCCGCGUGAAGGAAGAAGGUUUUCGGAUUGUAAACUUCUGAUCUAGGGGAAGAAGGAAGUGACGGUACCCUAGGAGAAAGCCACGGCUAACUACGUGCAAGCAGCCGCGGUAAUCUGAGCGGGCUGGCAAGGC
Molecule: ribosomal RNA, 201 nt
Filed under: uncultured bacterium
Lineage: Bacteria
Description: partial 16S ribosomal RNA
Rfam family: Bacterial small subunit ribosomal RNA
Source: RNAcentral